Molecule: non-coding RNA, 546 nt
Organism: Paramuricea clavata
Lineage: Eukaryota; Metazoa; Cnidaria; Anthozoa; Malacalcyonacea; Plexauridae
Source: the annotation of a GenBank genome assembly
AGAAAAAGGAGACCUUUAGAAAUCAACCAUUGUUAUAAUUUGAAUCCUGGAGCACUUUGCUAAGCACAUAGCAGAUUGAUCCCAGGAGCAGACAAUCUUUUGUUUAAACGUUAUUUCAAAUUCUAAAGGUCUCCUUUUUCUAAUAUACAGGGUGUCUCAAAAAAAACCAAAAUCAUUGAAAUAACGUAUUGUUCGAAUUUCAAUGCCGUAACACAAAGGAUUUUGACAGGGUGAUUAAUUUGUUUUAAAAAAUUAAAAUAUCUUUGUAAAGUGAACGUUUGUUUGCUCAUGGGAAUUUAAAAAUGCUUCGUAAAUUGUAAUAUGCGUAAUAUGCAUUCGUGGUUUUAGUACUUUAUGCCUGACAUAACAAGUUUACGCUGAGUAUUACCAUUCAUUAUAGCAGUUAUGUCAAUCUUUUAUGCACUCGUGGGAUUAACUUAGUGCUAGGGCAUUGAAUAUCGAACAAUACGCCAAUUUCAAUGAUUUUGGUUUUUUUUGAGACACCCUGUACAGGGUGUAUAAAAAAAAACGCAACCUCGGAAUUUC